CCUACGGGUGGCAGCAGUGGGGAAUAUUGCGCAAUGGGCGAAAGCCUGACGCAGCGACGCCGCGUGAGGGAUGAAGGUCUUCGGAUCGUAAACCUCUGUCAGCAGGGAAGAACGGUCACUGUGCUAAUCAGCAGUGAAUUGACGGUACCUGCAAAGGAAGCACCGGCUAACUCCGUGCCAGCAGCCGCGGUAAUACGGAGGGUGCGAGCGUUAAUCGGAAUUACUGGGCGUAAAGCGCUCGUAGGCGGUAUGUCAAGUCAAGGGUGAAAUCCCCGCGCUCAACGUGGGAACUGCCUUUGAAACUGGCAAACUGGAGUGUGUGAGAGGAUAGUGGAAUUCCAGGUGUAGGAGUGAAAUCCAUAGAUAUCACACAGAACACCGAUUGCGAAGGCAUCUCACGAAUCCGCGAUUGACGCUGAUGCACGAAAGCGUGGGUAUCAAACAGGAUUAGAUACCCUUGUAGUC
RNAcentral lists this ribosomal RNA (465 nucleotides) under uncultured bacterium. RNAcentral describes it as "partial 16S ribosomal RNA". It matches the Rfam family "Bacterial small subunit ribosomal RNA", at positions 338 to 795 of the family's 1533-position model. The record is from RNAcentral.